RNAcentral lists this ribosomal RNA (498 nucleotides) under uncultured bacterium. RNAcentral describes it as "bacterial SSU rRNA". It matches the Rfam family "Bacterial small subunit ribosomal RNA", at positions 8 to 518 of the family's 1533-position model. The record is from RNAcentral.
AGAGUUUGAUUAUGGCUCAGGAUGAACGCUGGCGGCGUGCUUAACACAUGCAAGUCGAACGAAGCUAAGGGAGCUUGCUCCCAAAGCUUAGUGGCGGACGGGUGAGUAACGCGUGGGUAACCUGCCCUAUAGAGGGGGAUAACGUUCGGAAACGAACGCUAAUACCGCAUAAACCAUAAGGAGCUGCAUGGCUCUGAUGGCAAAGAUUUAUCGCUAUAGGAUGGACCUGCGUUGGAUUAGCUAGUUGGUGAGAUAACAGCUCACCAAGGCGACGAUCCAUAGCCGGCCUGAGAGGGUGAACGGCCACAUUGGGACUGAGACACGGCCCAAACUCCUACGGGAGGCAGCAGUGGGGAAUAUUGCACAAUGGGCGCAAGCCUGAUGCAGCGACGCCGCGUGAAGGAAGAAGGUCUUCGGAUUGUAAACUUCUAUCAGCAGGGAAGAAUAAAUGACGGUACCUGACUAAGAAGCCCCGGCUAACUACGUGCCAGCCGCCGC